Molecule: long non-coding RNA, 1602 nt
Organism: Lonchura striata (white-rumped munia)
Lineage: Eukaryota; Metazoa; Chordata; Aves; Passeriformes; Estrildidae
Source: Ensembl
CCCUGCCCAGGCCAGGCAGCCCAGCGCGGUCCCGGCCGCGCCCGCGAAGCGCCGCAGCCGCUCCUGGGGGCGGGGCAUGCAAAUCAGGCCGCGCGGCGCGCCAAUCAGGGGGCGGCAUGCAGAUCAGGGCGCGCGGCGCGCCAAUCAGAGGGCGGCAUGCAAAUCAGGGCGCAGGGCGCGCGAAUCAUGGGGCGGCAUGCAGAUCAGGGGGCGGGGCGCGCGAAACAGGGAGGGGCAUGCAAAUCAGGCCGCGCGGCGCGCCAAUCAGGGAGCAGCAUGCAAAUCAGGGCGCAGGGCGCGCGAAACAGGGAGUGGCAUGCAAAUCAGGGCGCAGGGCGCGCGAAACAGGGAGUGGCAUGCAAAUCAGGGCGCGCGGCGCGCCAAUCAGGGAGCGGCAUGCAAAUCAGGGCGCGGGGCGCGCGAAACAGGGAGCGGCAUGCAAAUCAGGGCGCGCGGCGCGCCAAUCAGGGAGCGGCAUGCAAAUCAGGGCGCGCGGCGCGCCAAUCAGGGGGUGGCAUGCAAAUCACGGCGCGCGGCGCGCCAGUCAGGGGGCGGCAUGCAAAUCAGGGCGCAGGGCGCGCCAAUCAGAGGGCGGCAUGCAGAUCAGGGGGCGGGGCGCGCGAAACAGGGAGGGGCAUGCAAAUCAGGGCGCGGAACGCGCCAAUCAGGGGGCGGCAUGCAAAUCAGGGCGCGGGGCGCGCGAAACAGGGAGUGGCAUGCAAAUCAAGGCGCGCGGCGCGCCAAUCAGGGGGCGGAAUGCAAAUCCGGGCGCGCGGCGCGCCAGUCAGGAGGCGGGGCAUGCAAAUCAGGGCGCGCGGCGCGCCAGUCAGGGGGCGGCAUGCAAAUCAGAGCGCAGGGCGCGCGAAACAGGGAAGGACAUGCAAAUCAGGGCGCGCGGCGCGCCAAUCAGGGAGCGGCAUGCAAAUCAGGGCGCGCGGCGCGCCAGUCAGGGGGCGGCAUGCAAAUCAGGGCGCGGGGCGCGCGAAACAGGGAGCGGCAUGCAAAUAAGGGCGCAGGGCGCGCCAAUCAGGGAGCGGCAUGCAAAUCAGGGCGCAGGGCGCGCCAAUCAGGGGGCGGCAUGCAAAUCAGGGCGCGGGGCGCGCGAAACAGUGAGCACCAUGCAAAUCAGGGCGCGCGGAGCGCCAAUCAGGGGGCGGCAUGCAGAUCAGGGCUCGCGGCGCGCCAAUCAUGGGGCGUCAUGCAAAUCAGGGCGCAGGGCGCGCGAAACAGGGAGCGGCAUGCAAAUCAGGGCGCGCGGCGCGCCAAUCAGGGAGCGGCAUGCAAAUCAGGGCGCAGGGCGCGCCAGUCACGGGGCGGCAAGCAAAUCAGGGCGCGGGGCGCGCCAAUCAGGGAGCGGCAUGCAAAUCAGGGCGCGCGGCGCGCCAAUCAUGGGGCGGCAUGCAGAUCAGGGGGCGGGGCGCGCGAAACAGGGAGCGGCAUGCAAAUCAGGGCGCGGGACACGCCAAUCAGGGGGCGGAAUGCAAAUCAGGGCGCGGGGCGCGCGAAACAGGGGGCGGCAUGCAGAUCAGGGCUCGCGGCGCGCCAAUCAUGGGGCGUCAUGCAAAUCAGGGCGCAGGGCGCGCGAAACAGGGAGUGGCAUGC